AGUUUGAUUAUGGCUCAGGAUGAACGCUGGCGGCGUGCUUAACACAUGCAAGUCGAACGGAGUUUUUAAACGGAAGUUUUCGGAUGGAAGUUUAGAAACUUAGUGGCGGACGGGUGAGUAACGCGUGGGUAACCUGCCUCAUACAGGGGGGAUAACAGUUAGAAAUGACUGCUAACACCGCAUAAUAUAGCGAAACCGCAUGAUUUUUGCUAUCAAAUAUUUAUAGGUAUGAGAUGGGCCCGCGUCUGAUUAGCUAGUUGGUGGGGUAAAAGCCUACCAAGGCGACGAUCAGUAGCCGGCUUGAGAGAGUGACCGGCCACAUUGGGACUGAGACACGGCCCAAACUCCUACGGGAGGCAGCAGGUGGGGAAUAUUGGACAAUGGGGGAAACCCUGAUCCAGCGAACCGCCGCGUGAGUGAAGAAGUAUUUCGGUAUGUAAAGCUCUAUCAGCAGGGAAGAUAAUGACAGUACCUGACUAAGAAGCCCCGGCUAACUACGUGCCAGCAGCGGC
RNAcentral lists this ribosomal RNA (512 nucleotides) under uncultured bacterium. Its description in RNAcentral is "bacterial SSU rRNA". It matches the Rfam family "Bacterial small subunit ribosomal RNA", at positions 10 to 518 of the family's 1533-position model. The record is from RNAcentral.